This 1256-nucleotide long non-coding RNA is filed under the name Oryctolagus cuniculus (rabbit). RNAcentral describes it as "lncRNA (ENSOCUG00000034062.1)". The record is from RNAcentral. Lineage: Eukaryota; Metazoa; Chordata; Mammalia; Lagomorpha; Leporidae.
UCUUUGGAUAACCCCACCCCCAUUAACUUUUCAUAUAAUCAUUAUGCUCAUUACACAGUUGUACCAUCAAAUAGGAAAGUAGCCAUACAUAUUUUAACAUAUUUCAAAACAAGCAAGUGUAUUCUUUUUGUAUAUAGAACAGUAGUCACCAAGAACACUAUUUUGCCCAGGUAAUUGUCUAUACUGCUUUAAUUAAUAGUUGUGAACCAGUGCCUCUUUUCUGCUGGGUAUAAUAACCAGGAAGCAUCUUGGUAACAAAGGGACUCUGAGGUGUACUUCUAGGUUAUUACCAUAAGAUGGCGAUAUUAUGAAAUGCAGAGCACCUCACCUCAGACUAAAUUCUACCCAAUGAAAACUGAUUUUUGAAAAAACACUUAAAAUUAGUGUGAUGAAUUAUGUAAUAAGGUAGAUAUAACCUUAAAAUAUUAAAGUUGUAAUUAACAUCUGGAUUCUAUUAUGUGUCUGAUUCUUCCCUGCUGUUUCUCUUGGCAACAAUCAUUGAUUUAAUUUGACAUUGAAUUGUGAACUCAAGUCUUUCCCAGUUGCUCUAUAAGUUCUUACCUAGCUCCCUAACUACCUCUGACAAUUUGAGGCUUGAGUAAAGCCAGUAAAGUGUCAACAUCUCUCUAUUAAUGUAAUGCCUUUCUUAAACAUUUUAUUAUUUCUAAAUAAUGAUUAACUACACUCAAUCUAGAUGAGAAGAGGAACUCCUCCUUUGGAAGGGUCCCAUCAGAUGGUGGACAAUGGAGGUUUUGGAGCAUGUUUCAGAAUGAAAACAGAAUGGGAGAAUAUUUGGAUUGGCAAAGAGAUAAAGAAAUGAGGAUUCUAAUUCACUACUUAGGUGUGAGUGAUUUUGUAUCAAACUUUCUUUGAAGCAAUUUGAGAAAUACACUGCAAAAGUCUUGACAAAAGUUUAAAUCUAGUUGUUCCAGUUCUAAGAUUUACUGUAAUGAUAAUUACUCAUUCAAUAACAUUUUAAAUUCUAUAUUAUCUUUCACUUAUUAAUAGUAGAUAUAUAAUUGUAAGAGCUACAACUGAAAAUGAAUAUUUAUAAUUGAAAUUGCAAGAAAUUCAAAUAUCCUAUUUGAUAUGUCAGGUUUAUGUAUCUACUAAAAUAUAUAUUUUUCAGUAAUAUUUGGUGUUGGGUAAUAGUGUUCAGAAAAUAUUUUAUUUAAUUUUAACUUAACUUUUAAUUUUAUUUGAAAGGGAAGGAGAUGCAGAGAGCAAAAUAAGGAGACACUGAGAGAGACAUCUUA